GAUGAACGCUGACAGAAUGCUUAACACAUGCAAGUCAACUUGAAUCUGGGUUUUUAACUUAGGUUUGGGUGGCGGACGGGUGAGUAACGCGUAAAGAACUUGCCUCACAGCUAGGGACAACAUUUGGAAACGAAUGCUAAUACCUAAUAUUAUGAUAAUAGGGCAUCCUAUAAUUAUGAAAGCUAUAAGCGCUGUGAGAGAGCUUUGCGUCACAUUAGCUAGUUGGAGAGGUAACGGCUCACCAAGGCGAUGAUGGGUAGCCGGCCUGGGAGGGUGAUCGGCCACAAGGGGACUGGGGCACGGCCCUUACUCCUACGGGAGGCAGCAGUGGGGAAUAUUGGACAAUGGACCAAGAGUCUGAUCCAGCAAUUCUGUGUGCACGAUGAAGUUUUUCGGAAUGUAAAGUGCUUUCAGUUGGGAAGAAAGAAAUGACGGUACCAACAGAAGAAGUGACGGCUAAAUACGUG
Molecule: ribosomal RNA, 467 nt
Filed under: uncultured bacterium
Lineage: Bacteria
Description: partial 16S ribosomal RNA
Rfam family: Bacterial small subunit ribosomal RNA
Source: RNAcentral